Molecule: long non-coding RNA, 542 nt
Filed under: Rattus norvegicus (Norway rat)
Lineage: Eukaryota; Metazoa; Chordata; Mammalia; Rodentia; Muridae
Description: long non-coding RNA NONRATT017820
Source: RNAcentral
GACGGGUCCUGCAGGGUCCCCGUGACACAGGGCAAGAACUGGAUAUCUGAGAGGAGUCCCAGUGAAGUUCUAGUAUUGAUGGUGCAGCAGAAGCCAGCGGCCUCCAACCAGACCAACGACUCUCGGCAGUGCACAUUUAUGCGGACAGACAAGAUUCCAUCAACCUGUUCUUGGGUGUUUUCCACCCCACAGAAGGGAAACCUCAUCUCUGGGAACUUCCCACGGACUUUUACCUGCAUCACAAAAACACCAUGAGCCUUUUACCCCCCAAAAGGAGUUAUACUCACUGGUGGACACCAGAGGUGGUGAAGCAUUUGCCGCUGCCUUACGACGAAGUUGACGGUGAAGAAGUUUCACAGAUGGGAAGAGGAGAUUGAUAUUCACAAUGAGUUCUUCCGGCCGUAUGAAUUGAGUAGUUUUGAUGACACCUUUUGCCUGGCCAUGACAAGUUCAGCACGUGAUUUUAUGCCUAAAACUAUUGGCAUUGACCCAAGUCCAUUCACCGUGCGAAAACCAGACGAAACCGGGAAAUCUGUACUGGG